This 84-nucleotide transfer RNA is filed under the name Clostridiaceae bacterium. RNAcentral's name for it is "tRNA-Leu". It matches the Rfam family "tRNA". From Rfam's summary of the family: Transfer RNA (tRNA) molecules are approximately 80 nucleotides in length. Their secondary structure includes four short double-helical elements and three loops (D, anti-codon, and T loops). Lineage: Bacteria; Bacillati; Bacillota; Clostridia; Eubacteriales; Clostridiaceae. The record is from RNAcentral.
GCGGAUGUGGUGGAAUUGGCAGACACGCUGGAUUUAGGUUCCAGUGCGAUGAGCAUGCAGGUUCAAGUCCUGUCAUCCGCACCA